CCUACGGGAGGCAGCAGUAGGGAAUCUUCCACAAUGGACGCAAGUCUGAUGGAGCAACGCCGCGUGAAGGAAGAAGGCUUUCGGGUUGUAAACUUCUUUUGACAGGGAAGAGUAGAAGACGGUACCUGUCGAAUAAGCCACGGCUAACUACGUGCCAGCAGCCGCGGUAAUACGUGGGUGGCAAGCGUUGUCCGGAUUUACUGGGUGUAAAGGGCGUGUAGCCGGGUUGACAAGUCAGAUGUGAAAUCCUGCGGCUUAACCGCAGAACUGCAUUUGAAACUGUUGAUCUUGAGUACUGGAGAGGCAGACGGAAUUCCUGGUGUAGCGGUGAAAUGCGUAGAUAUUAGGAGGAACACCAGUGGCGAAGGCGGUCUGCUGGACAGCAACUGACGGUGAGGCGCGAAAGCGUGGGGAGCAAACAGGAUUAGAUACCCUUGUAGUC
RNAcentral lists this ribosomal RNA (442 nucleotides) under uncultured bacterium. Its description in RNAcentral is "partial 16S ribosomal RNA". It matches the Rfam family "Bacterial small subunit ribosomal RNA", at positions 338 to 795 of the family's 1533-position model. The record is from RNAcentral.